This 406-nucleotide ribosomal RNA is filed under the name uncultured bacterium. Its description in RNAcentral is "partial 16S ribosomal RNA". It matches the Rfam family "Bacterial small subunit ribosomal RNA", at positions 30 to 526 of the family's 1533-position model. The record is from RNAcentral.
AUCGAACGCUGGCGGCAGGCCUAACACAUGCAAGUCGAACGAGUGGCGGACGGGUGAGUAAUGUCUGGGACACUGCCCGAUGGAGGGGGAUAACUACUGGAAACGGUAGCUAAUACCGCAUACUAUCAGAUGUGCCCAGAUGGGCUUAGCUUGUAGGUGGGGUAACGGCUCACCAAGGCGACGAUCCCUAGCUGGUCUGAGAGGAUGACCAGCCACACUGGAACUGAGACACGGUCCAGACUCCUACGGGAGGCAGCAGUGGGGAAUAUUGCACAAUGGGCGCAAGCCUGAUGCAGCCAUGCCGCGUGUAUGAAGAAGGCCUUCGGGUUGUAAAGUACUUUCAGCGGGGAGGCGUUACCCGCAGAAGAAGCACCGGCUAACUCCGUGCCAGCCGCCGCGGUAAUUC